CAAGAGUGGGGGAUAACGUAGCGAAAGUUACGCUAAUACCGCAUACGAUCUAAGGAUGAAAGCAGGGGAUCUUCGGACCUUGUGCUCCUGGAGCGGCCGAUAUCUGAUUAGCUAGUUGGUGAGGUAAAGGCUCACCAAGGCCACGAUCAGUAGCUGGUCUGAGAGGACGACCAGCCACACUGGAACUGAGACACGGUCCAGACUCCUACGGGAGGCAGCAGUGGGGAAUUUUGGACAAUGGGCGAAAGCCUGAUCCAGCAAUGCCGCGUGAGUGAAGAAGGCCUUCGGGUUGUAAAGCUCUUUUGUCAGGGAAGAAACGGUGAGGGCUAAUAUCCCUCGCUAAUGACGGUACCUGAAGAAUAAGCACCGGCUAACUACGUGCCAGCAGCCGCGGUAAUACGUAGGGUGCAAGCGUUAAUCGGAAUUACUGGGCGUAAAGCGUGCGCAGGCGGUUUUGUAAGUCUGACGUGAAAUCCCCGGGCUCAACCUGGGAAUUGCGUUGGAGACUGCAAGGCUAGAAUCUGGCAGAGGGGGGUAGAAUUCCACGUGUAGCAGUGAAAUGCGUAGAGAUGUGGAGGAACACCGAUGGCGAAGGCAGCCCCCUGGGUCAAGAUUGACGCUCAUGCACGAAAGCGUGGGGAGCAAACAGGAUUAGAUACCCUGGUAGUCCACGCCCUAAACGAUGUCUACUAGUUGUCGGG
This 701-nucleotide ribosomal RNA is filed under the name uncultured bacterium. Its description in RNAcentral is "bacterial SSU rRNA". It matches the Rfam family "Bacterial small subunit ribosomal RNA", at positions 131 to 827 of the family's 1533-position model. The record is from RNAcentral.